Molecule: ribosomal RNA, 482 nt
Filed under: uncultured bacterium
Lineage: Bacteria
Description: partial 16S ribosomal RNA
Rfam family: Bacterial small subunit ribosomal RNA
Source: RNAcentral
AAUGAACGUUGGCGGCGUGGAUUAGGCAUGCAAGUCGAACGAGAUCUGUAGCAAUACCGUGAAAGUGGCAAAAGGGAGAGUAAUACGUAGGUACCUGCCCUCGGGUCUGGGAUAGCUGCGGGAAACUGCAAUUAAUACCGGAUGACGUCUCUGGACCAAAGGUGUGAUUCCGCCAGGGGAUGGGCCUGCGUCCUAUCAGCUAGUUGGUGUGGUAAUGGCGCAACAAGGCAAAGACGGGUACGGGGUGUGAGAGCAUGCCCCCGCUCACUGGGACGGAGAUACUGCCCAGACACCUACGGGUGGCUGCAGUCGAGAAUCUUCCGCAAUGGGCGCAAGCCUGACGGAGCGACGCCGCGUGUGGGAUGAAGGCCUUCGGGUUGUAAACCACUGUCAGUGGGGAGCAAAUGCAUCAGGGUUCUCCCUGGUGUUUGAGCGAUCCGCAGAGGAAGCACAGGCUAAUUCCGUGCCAGCAGCCGCAGUAA